This 199-nucleotide ribosomal RNA is filed under the name uncultured bacterium. RNAcentral's name for it is "partial 16S ribosomal RNA". It matches the Rfam family "Bacterial small subunit ribosomal RNA", at positions 328 to 539 of the family's 1533-position model. The record is from RNAcentral.
ACGCUCGACACCUACGGGGGGCAGCAGUGGGGAAUAUUGCACAAUGGGGGAAACCCGUGAUGCAGCGACGCCGCGUGAGUGAAGAAGUAUUUCGGUAUGUAAAGCUCUAUCAGCAGGGAAGAAGAUGACGGUACCUGAGUAAGAAGCCCCGGCUAACUACGUGCCAGCAGACGCGGUAAUCUGAGCGGGCUGGCAAGGC